This 370-nucleotide long non-coding RNA is filed under the name Setaria viridis. RNAcentral's name for it is "long non-coding RNA (SVIR_LNC001293)". Lineage: Eukaryota; Viridiplantae; Streptophyta; Magnoliopsida; Poales; Poaceae. The record is from RNAcentral.
CCCCCGCCGUGCUCAGCAACCUUCGCCAGGAGGUCGUCCUUCCUGGCGCCGACAAUUUUGUGGACUUCCUUGCCCUCCUUGAUGAGGAGGAAGGUCGGCAUCGCCUCGACCUUGUAUUCAGCGGCGACUUCCUGUUGAACAAGGAAACAGCGUUAGUACGACGUUACAGGGCAAGGGCAAGUGUUUUGGAGAACUAUCGGUACACCGUGCUCACCUUCAGCUCGUCAACGUCCACCUUGAGGAAGACAACGUGGGGAUAACUCUUGGCGAGUUCAGCAAAAACUGGGGCAAUGAUGCGGCAAGGACCACACCAGGAGGCAGUGAAGUCGAUGACCACCUGGGGUGCAAAAAAGUUGACAAAUGCCCCAAA